Long non-coding RNA from Patella vulgata (common limpet), 1354 nucleotides. RefSeq lists it as uncharacterized. The record is from RefSeq and is a predicted model, not a curated record. The transcript has 9 exons. Lineage: Eukaryota; Metazoa; Mollusca; Gastropoda; Patellidae.
CCAGAUGUUCUAACUUACUAGCAAAAUCAGUUUUAAAUCUAACUCAAUGGCGUGGGUGUAACCGACGGACGGGGGAUGUAGGCGUAUAAAAUGUGAGACAUUCCAGAUGUUCCGGCAAGGAUAAGUUAACCGCUUACCAUUUUAGCCAAAUGAAGGAAUUUUUCGAACUCGUAGUUGGUACUAUGUUUGAACUUAUGAUUCAACUGAAGCAAGGGUUCGUGUAAUUAAGUAAUCUGAAAUCAUAGGUGUGUGCGUUUCAUGCAUUGGAAAACGAAUUUUACAGGUACACAACACUAAAGGAAAAACAUUAGUCAACACGAACAUUAGGACAUGACAAUUACACGUCAUCACUAAAUCCAUAUAUCAGACUCUUAGCUUCCUGGUCUUACAACAAGAAAACCAUCGGAGCAUCAUCUGCUAUUACACAACAGCUAUCAGUCAAAAGUUGUAUAAAUGCCACAGGCAAAUUGGGUGACAUUUUAAGACAAAGAGGUUGAUGACGAUGAUGAAGAUGGCAUAUAUAGUUCAUGAUAACACGUCCAGUUUCUUAGCUACAGUAGAUCAUAGGAGUUAAGGAGGACGGGUGCUCUAGAGUUAAAGAAUGUUGAGUAGCGCCGUCAAAAUGUUGCAGCUUUCGUGUCUUGUUGGUUUCCUGGCCGUUCUAUGUCAAGGUCAAGAUCUAUGGAACCGGUUUCCAUUCAGUCCAAAUCCCAAUACACAACCAACUCAAGUACCCCGAACUCAGCCACCAAAUCUGGCCGCGAUAUGGGGACAAUCUGCACGACAACCUUUCGCGCAAUUCAGUCAGAUGAGCAUGCCAGGUCAAAUGCCCAACCAAGCAUUGCCAAACCAAGGCAUGCCUAUUCCAGGAAAUCCUAACUUAGCAAUGCCCAACCCAGGAAUGUCUAAUUCAGCAAUGCCUAAUCCAGGAAUGCCCCGUUCGGGGACGCCUAAUAGAGCAAUGCCCCCCUCGGGAAUUCCCAGCCCAGGAAUGCCAAAACUAUGGAUGCCUAACGCAGGAAUGACCGACCAAGCUACGGGGCCUAACCAGAUGCCAGGCCCAGGAAUGCAGAGAUUAGGAAUGCCAAACCCUGGAAUGGCAAGUCAAGUAAUGAUGAAUUCAAUGAAUUUGCGUAUGCAAGGUCAAGGGAAUCCCACUAUGGCAGUGUGUGUACCCACAUUCUACCAGCCCCAGUUGUGUACAGUGAACGGUGAAAACCAACAUAAAUACACGUUACAAGCUGUUAUGGGAAUGCUACGUGACAAAAACAUAGAAAAGGUGCCAGAAUGUAUUCGCGGUAUUCAGAAACUCAAUUGCGGUGACUACAAUGCAGCCCAAACUAUCUGGAAGAAG